CAUGCCGUAAACGAUGAUUACUAGGUGUGGGUGGUCUGACCCCAUCCGUGCCGGAGUUAACACAAUAAGUAAUCCACCUGGGGAGUACGACCGCAAGGUUGAAACUCAAAGGAAUUGACGGGGGCCCGCACAAGCAGUGGAGUAUGUGGUUUAAUUCGAAGCAACGCGAAGAACCUUACCAGGUCUUGACAUCUGCCGGACCCCGCAGAGAUGCGGGGGUGCCCUUCGGGGAACGGUAAGACAGGUGG
RNAcentral lists this ribosomal RNA (248 nucleotides) under uncultured bacterium. RNAcentral's name for it is "partial 16S ribosomal RNA". It matches the Rfam family "Bacterial small subunit ribosomal RNA", at positions 796 to 1041 of the family's 1533-position model. The record is from RNAcentral.